This 933-nucleotide small RNA is filed under the name uncultured Acidimicrobiales bacterium. RNAcentral's name for it is "bacterial SSU rRNA". The stretch from base 1 to 491 matches the Rfam family "Bacterial small subunit ribosomal RNA", at positions 1045 to 1533 of the family's 1533-position model. The record is from RNAcentral. Lineage: Bacteria; Bacillati; Actinomycetota; Acidimicrobiia; Acidimicrobiales.
AUGGCUGUCGUCAGCUCGUGUCGUGAGAUGUUGGGUUAAGUCCCGCAACGAGCGCAACCCUCGUCCUAUGUUGCCAGCGGGUUAUGCCGGGGACUCAUAGGAUACUGCCGGGGUCAACUCGGAGGAAGGUGGGGAUGACGUCAAAUCAUCAUGCCCCUUAUGUCCAGGGCUGCACACAUGCUACAAUGGCCGGUACAAAGGGCUGCUAACUCGCGAGAGCCAGCGAAUCCCGUAAAGCCGGUCUCAGUUCGGAUUGGAGGCUGCAACUCGCCUCCAUGAAGCUGGAGUUGCUAGUAAUCCCGGAUCAGCACGCCGGGGUGAAUACGUUCCCGGGCCUUGUACACACCGCCCGUCACACCACGAAAGUCGGCAACACCCGAAGCCGGUGGCCUAACCCGUAAGGGGAGGAGCCGUCGAAGGUGGGGUCGGUGAUUGGGGUGAAGUCGUAACAAGGUAGCCGUACCGGAAGGUGCGGCUGGAUCACCUCCUUUCUAGGGAGAACAGUUCAAUCGUUGGUAGGCAUUCGUCCUACCCGGUUCGAACCACUCCCAGUUGGUGCAUUGGUGGGUGAGUCGAAAUGGCAGGUCAAUCGCAGGAUUCGUCCUCUUGGCAUGCCGGCUCGACGAGCUUUGUCUUCUCUUCCGUUUUGAGGGAGUCGACCCAUUUGGGUUGUCGACCCUCGGCGCACGGCAUGGAGCUCACGCUCCCGCUGCCCACGGAGUGCCCGGUUCGAAAUUUUGAAUCUGAGGCCCCGUUCGCUGCCCUUUGAGAACUGCAGAGCAAGCACGAGCAUCUUUGUUCUUCCAAGCUACAAAGAGCCAACGGUGGAUGCCUUGGCGCCAAGAACCGAUGAAGGACGUGAGUGACUGCGAAAAGCUGCGGGGAACCGUCUACUAGGUAUUGAUCCGCAGAUGUCCGAAUGGGGAAACCCGG